This is a long non-coding RNA of Leopardus geoffroyi (Geoffroy's cat), 1561 nucleotides long. RefSeq lists it as uncharacterized. The transcript is spliced from 2 exons. NCBI's taxonomy places the organism in Eukaryota, Metazoa, Chordata, Mammalia, Carnivora, Felidae. The record is from RefSeq and is a predicted model, not a curated record.
GAGAGAGAGAAAUAUAAUUCCUUUUUAAUUCUGACUCCAGUUUUCCUUCCCAGCCUAACCCUGAUGGAAUAGAAACCAGGAAUUGGAAAUGCUGGAUACCACUGUGGUUGGAGAUACAGUGGAGCAAAUACUAGAAAGAAUAAUUAAAAGUAUAUAUAUAUAUAUAUAUAUAUAUAUUCUACACCCAAAUAUAUAUACACACCCAAAGUGUAUGUGUGUGUUCUAUAUCCAAAAUGACAGAAUUAAUGUCCAAUUCCACUCAUCUCCAGGGCCACAAAAGACUGGAAGUAUAACAUUGGAGCUCUGAAUGAAAAGGCUCUGGAUUCAGGGACACCAGGCAUAGCUGAGGGAAGGUGCAGCACUAAAAAUGCUGAAAAUAAAAGCCCAGCACCUAUUUUCACUCAGCUCCUACAAAGCCAUCUGCCAGGCUUGUGCCCACAGACAAGAUACUGGAGGACACUAGAAUUCCAUAGAAGAUGGAUAAUCCAAGUGAAAAGACUUACAGUUACUAAACAGAGAUUCCAUGAGGAAAUAGUGAUCUACUCAAUUGGUCAGUAGUGAAGCCCACCACUCAACCAGUCCUGACUCCACAAGCUGGAUUUCAAUGAGCUUUUAAAUGAUUUUUUUUCAAUAUAAACGAACAGCAAAGAAUCACCAGCUUCUUGAAAAAUACUUAUAAUAAACAGACCAAUACAACUAUAAAAAAAAUAAAACAAAGAAAUGGAUUAAGUACAGGAAUCAUGAUAUCGUCUUUCAAAAGCAUAAAAAUUCUUAUAAAGGUAAAAGACAUUACAACUAUGAAACAAGAAUGAGUACUAUUGAAAAAGGGACAGUCAUAAAAUAAACAAAGAAGGACUGUUUUCAAUUUUUAAUUCAAUAUAAUAUUUGGGAGAUAUGCUGAGUCAAUCUCCUGGAACCAAAGCUCAAAGAGCUAAAUAUAGGAAAUUUUUUAAAAGAGAGGAUCUGUUUAGGAGGGCCAACAGCUAAGUAUUAGGGAUUUGGGGGGUGGGGUGGGAAGGACAGUAGAGAAAUACAGGGAAAGAAAUAACCAAAGACAUAGUACAAGAACUUCCCAGAAUUGAAGAACAUGAGCAUAGAGAUUGAAGGGCACCACUGAGUGCCCAGUGCAAUAAAUGAAAAAAGACUCACACUAACGCAUUGUGUUUUAAAAUUUUAGAACACCAAAGGUGAAUACAAGAUCCUAAAAGCCUCUAGAGGGGGGAAAAAGAAAAAAUUAUAAAUACUCAUACAUCAAAGUGGCACUGAAAUUCUUUUUAGUAACACUGGAUUUUAGAAAAAAAUGGAGAACUAUCUUCAAAAUUUGUAAGUGGAGUGAUUUUAAACUUAGAAUUCUAUACCAGCACAAACCAUCAGUCAACUGUGGAGGUAAAGCAAAAAGUUUUCCAAGCCAGCAACAUCCUCUCACCCGCCAUGAAUUCAGAAAGAUAACACGAGGUGUGUUCUACCAAACAAGGUAGUAAACUUUAAAAAAGAAAACAGUGGAUACAAAAAUAUAGGGACUUCAACCCAGGAAGGAUGCAAAGGUAAUUCUAAUGAUGAU